This 71-nucleotide transfer RNA is filed under the name Loxodonta africana (African savanna elephant). It matches the Rfam family "tRNA". Rfam says of the family: Transfer RNA (tRNA) molecules are approximately 80 nucleotides in length. Their secondary structure includes four short double-helical elements and three loops (D, anti-codon, and T loops). Lineage: Eukaryota; Metazoa; Chordata; Mammalia; Proboscidea; Elephantidae. The record is from Rfam by way of RNAcentral.
UCAUUGGUGGUUCAGUGGUAGAAUGCUUGCCUUUCAUGCAGGAGACCUGGGUUUGAUUCCCAGCUAAUACA